This 64-nucleotide transfer RNA is filed under the name Biomphalaria glabrata. RNAcentral's name for it is "tRNA-Ile". Lineage: Eukaryota; Metazoa; Mollusca; Gastropoda; Planorbidae. The record is from RNAcentral. RNAcentral also lists the same sequence under 1 other name.
AAACAAUCGCCGGUUGAACGGAAAUCAUUGAUGUUGAUUAAUAAAAGAUUAUUCUUAUUGUUUA